RNAcentral lists this ribosomal RNA (712 nucleotides) under uncultured bacterium. Its description in RNAcentral is "bacterial SSU rRNA". It matches the Rfam family "Bacterial small subunit ribosomal RNA", at positions 56 to 763 of the family's 1533-position model. The record is from RNAcentral.
UGCAAGUCGAGGGGCAUCACGUGUAGCAAUACAUGGUGGCGACCGGCGGAAGGGUGCGUAACGCGUGAGCAACAUGCCCGUAUCAGGGGGAUAAACCAGGGAAACUUGGUCUAAUACCGCAUAAUAAGUUUCUAAGGCAUCUUAGGGAUUUUAAAGUUUUGGUGGAUACGGAUUGGCUCGCGUGACAUUAGCUAGAUGGUAAGGUAACGGCUUACCAUGGCAACGAUGUCUAGGGGUUCUGAGAGGAAGAUCCCCCACACUGGAACUGAGACACGGUCCAGACUCCUACGGGAGGCAGCAGUGAGGAAUAUUGGACAAUGGAUGGAAAUCUGAUCCAGCCAUGCCGCGUGCAGGAAGACAGCCCUAUGGGUUUUAAACUGCUUUUAUACGGGAGCAAUAAGGACUAUGCGUAGUUUGAUGAGAGUACCGUACGAAUAAGCACCGGCUAACUCCGUGCCAGCAGCCGCGGUAAUACGGAGGGUGCAAGCGUUAUCCGGAUUUAUUGGGUUUAAAGGGUGCGUAGGCGGUUUUAUAAGUCAGCGGUGAAAUUUUUCAGCUUAACUGGAACAAUGCCGUUGAUACUGUAAAGCUGGAAUAUGGUUGCUGUGGGUGGAAUGUGUGGUGUAGCGGUGAAAUGCUUAGAUAUCACACAGAAUAUCGAUUGCGAAGGCAGCUCACAAAUCCAUUAUUGACGCUGAUGCACAAUCACUAG